UGGUGGCGAGUGGACGACGGGUAGAGUAAAUAGUAUCGGAACGUACCCGGAAAUGGGGAUAACGUAGCGAAAGUUACGCUAAUACCGCAUAUGCCCUAAGGGGGAAAGCGGGGGAUUCGCAAGAACCUCGCGUUUUGGAGCGGCGAUAUCGGAUUAGCUAGUAGGUGAGGUAAAGGCUCACCUAGGCGACGAUCCGUAGCUGGUCUGAGAGGACGACCAGCCACACUGGAACUGAGACACGGUCCAGACUCCUACGGGAGGCAGCAGUGGGGAAUUUUGGACAAUGGGCGCAAGCCUGAUCCAGCCAUGCCGCGUGAGUGAAGAAGGCCUUCGGGUUGUAAAGCUCUUUCAGCCGGAAAGAAAACGCACGGGUUAAUAACCUGUGUGGAUGACGGUACCGGAAGAAGAAGCACCGGCUAACUACGUG
This 427-nucleotide ribosomal RNA is filed under the name uncultured bacterium. RNAcentral's name for it is "bacterial SSU rRNA". It matches the Rfam family "Bacterial small subunit ribosomal RNA", at positions 86 to 507 of the family's 1533-position model. The record is from RNAcentral.